This 378-nucleotide unclassified non-coding RNA is filed under the name uncultured Gammaproteobacteria bacterium. RNAcentral describes it as "contains 16S-23S intergenic spacer region". The record is from RNAcentral. Lineage: Bacteria; Pseudomonadati; Pseudomonadota; Gammaproteobacteria.
UCCGGUUUGUCACCGGCAGUCUCCCUAGAGUUCCCACCAUUACGUGCUGGCAACUAGGGACAAGGGUUGCGCUCGUUGCGGGACUUAACCCAACAUCUCACGACACGAGCUGACGACAGCCAUGCAGCACCCGUCUCACGGUUCCCGAAGGCACCCGCCCAUCUCUGGGCAGUUCCGUGCAUGUCAAGCCCAGGUAAGGUUCUUCGCGUUGCGUCGAAUUAAACCACACGCUCCGCUGCUCGUGCGGGCCCCCGUCAAUUCAUUUGAGUUUUAACCUUGCGGCCGUACUCCCCAGGCGGUCAACUUAAUGCGUUAGCUGCGCCACUAAGAGCUCAAGGCUCCCAACGGCUAGUUGACAUCGUUUACGGCGUGGACUAC